This 253-nucleotide ribosomal RNA is filed under the name uncultured bacterium. RNAcentral describes it as "partial 16S ribosomal RNA". It matches the Rfam family "Bacterial small subunit ribosomal RNA", at positions 524 to 776 of the family's 1533-position model. The record is from RNAcentral.
UACGUAGGGUGCAAGCGUUAAUCGGAAUUACUGGGCGUAAAGCGUGCGCAGGCGGCUAUGCAAGACAGCUGUGAAAUCCCCGGGCUCAACCUGGGAACUGCAUUUGUGACUGCAUGGCUAGAGUACGGUAGAGGGGGAUGGAAUUCCGCGUGUAGCAGUGAAAUGCGUAGAUAUGCGGAGGAACACCGAUGGCGAAGGCAAUCCCCUGGACCUGUACUGACGCUCAUGCACGAAAGCGUGGGGAGCAAACAGG